GGCUGAUACGGCCAGCGCUGUGCUGGUCCAAAGCCAGGAGCCGGGUGCUUCCUCCUGGUCUCCCACAUGGGUGCAGGGCUCAAGGACUUGGGCCAUCCUCCACUGCCCUCCCAGGCCACAGCAGAGAGCUGGACUGGAAGAGGAGCAACUGGGACUAGUUCCCGGUGCCCCAACCAGGACUAGAACCCCGGGUGCCAGAGCCGCAGGUGGAGGAUUAGCCAAGUGAGCCAUGGCACCGGCCUCAUUUUUAGCACUAUUAAAGGUGGAAUUGAUAAAACCACAAGCCAAAUCUUGAAUGACUGUUGCUAUUUUAGCAAGUUAUUUAGUAGUUAUAGCUUUAAACAACAAACACUGUGGCAUCAUUGUCAAGUGAGUCGCAGGAGUACCAAAUAUCAAAUCACGUCUUCAAGUUACUCCCCAACUUUCCUUGGCUUUAUCACAGUGUAACUUCGGUAAGGCACUUGUCCUCUGUGCGACUGCUAGAGAAGAAUCUCUUGGGAUGAGACCUACGAUUGUUCACCUUUACAGUUGGAGAGGUACAGAGGGCGAACAACCUUCAUAAGGAAGCUGAACUACGUCAAUGGUUUUCAGGCCUGUCUGCACAUUAGCAUCACCUGGAGCGCUUUUAAGUGACUAACAUGUUUGGGCCACACUCCAGAACAGAUUCAUUUGUUUGAAAGGCAGUGUUACAGAGAGAAAGGGAGAAAGAGAGGAAGAGAACGUCCAUCUGCUGGUUCACUCCCCAAAUGGUUGCAAAGGUUGGAGUUGGGCAGACCCGAAGUCAGGAGUCUGGACCUUCUUCUCACGUGGGUGCAGGGGCCUAAGCACUGGGACCAUCCUCCAUUGCUUUUCCAGGCACAUUAGCAGAGAGCUGGAUGGGAAGUGGAGCAGCCAAGACUUGAACCAGCACCCAUCUGGGAUGCUAGCCUUGCAGACUGUGGCUUAACUUGCUACACCACAGCACCUGCCCCUCACAAUCAGCAUUCUGUGAGUUCUAAACUCUACUUAUUUUGUUAUCUCUCAUCCCCAGGAUAAAUGCAUAUAUAUUUUUUGCAUAGUGUGCUUCAGUAAAACUUUAACCAUUGGCAUAACCUACCGACACAUUAGACCUGUCAAAUAAAAGCAUGAAUAUUCCUUAGCAAGAAUAUAUUUUGAAAAUAUACUGUAAUCAUAGCUGAAGUUAUUUAGUGACUAAUAGAACCUCUAUAAGACAGAAUGCUGGGCAACCAUAGGAUGAUCAAGCUCAUAUGCUUCUUUUUGUUGGGUUUUUCUUUUUUCAAGACUUAUUUGAAAGGCAGAGUGAUGGUGAGAGAGCAAGAGACAGAGGGAUCUUCCAUUAGCUGAUUCACUCCCCAAAUGGCCACAACAACCAGAUAUAGGCCAGUCUGAAGUCAGGAGCCCAGAACUCCUCAGGGUCUCCCAGAUGAGUAGCAGUGGCCCAAAUGCAUGGACCACCAUUCUCUGCCUUUCUAUGCACAUUAGCAGGAAGCUGGAUGGGAAGAGGAGCAGCCAGGAUUCAAACCAGUGCUCUGAUAAGGGAUGCUAACAUUGCAGGCAGAAGCUUAACCUAAUGGGUGGCAAUGCUGGCCCCCAAAUUCAUAAGCUUCCAAACUGAAAUCUGUCCACGGGUACUUACGUGUCUUGGCUACCCGCUGUGCCAACUCACCCCUGCUAGGGCUCAGCUUGUGACUGAUCGGGUGGAAGGAGAGAUGAGGUGGGCAACUAGAUGUUCCUUUUCCUAUCUCCCAGGAGUCAGGCUUUGAAAUGUACUCAGCCAGUUAACAAGUCCACGUCAGGUUUGGCAUUCUGAGAUUCAUAGUCCUAGAGUUGCUAGAACAAGUAUGACAACUUGUGACUGUGCACAGUAGCGUGACAGCAGAUAACCAGUGACAACAAAUGCCACUGGCAGUAAGUGUCAUCGUGAAAGUACCAGUUGCAUGUGUCCAAAGCCAGCUGUUCCUGCGGCAUAGUCCUCGCAGUGCCUUUUGCCUCCUGCCUGACCCUACAGCCUUCCUCACAGUUCUGAGCCUCCUGAUCUACUUCUGAUGAAAUUACUUCCUGUUCAAGUUAACGAGUCAAUUUUUAUUGAUUGUAAUUGAGAACCCUGAACAGUACACAAUUGAAUUUGAAGUAUGCAAAAUAAAAUCAUCUAGCAACAUUGUACAAAUUGGACGCCUGAGUGCAUUAAUUUUCCCAUCAGGCAGUCAUUUGAAAAUCAAGUCAGACAAGUAGGAUUCUAGAAUGAUCAUCAUUUUCAAUCUGUUAAAGUUAUGAUAGUUUAGGAAUAUAUUUUUUGAUAUCACUCAUUUGAAUCACUGAAAUUGUGGGAGUGAAAAGUAUUAUUUCAUACCCUGGAAAUACCCAUAGCAUCCCCUGUUAGGAAGAAGCCUAUCACCUCCUAAAUUUGACUUUCAGUAUCAGAAGAGUAUUUUUCAGUUAGGUCAAGAUUAUUACUUCUGCCUCAACUGACGAAGAAUGUACACUUUUGAUGCUCUGAGCUUUGUUUCUGAAGAACAGAGAGGCCACGUCAUUCCGACUGCUUGGCUGACUACUCCCAACCUGGUAGUGAAAUAGCAAAGCAGCAGUGCGCGUGGUGUUCGCGAUGGUAGCAGUCAGUUGUGUCGUCCUAUCCAGUGACCUACGUGCCACAGCCGAGAGGGUGCUGGGCCCCAGGGCAGCUCCUGGAGGGGCGGAGAAGACGUUUGAGGUCUAACAUCCUUCUCCUGCCUUUCCCAUGAUUCUGCCUUAAGAUUUCCUAAUUUAUUGGGUUUUUUUUUUUUUCCCUUCUGCUAUGUAUUUUUUCUGUAUUUGCUUGUGUCCCCGGGGAUGGCAACGAUACUAACCAAAGAGAGUGAGGAGCACUCAUGCGAUGGCGCUGUAUCACUUUUUGCCUCUCACAUAGUAUUUGACUUUAUCUGCCUCAUUUCCUGACUUCCUGGUUGGAGGUUCAGCUUCUCAAGGGAGUUCCUCUAACUGGCUGGAUUGGUAGUGAAAAAGAAGAGGAAGAACUUUCCAUGCCGCAGAACCCAGAGAAAAAUAAUUAGCUUACGGAACCUCAAGAAAAAGUUGGAAAGAUAAACCAUGAGUUCAACCUGCUUGUGUGGUAGUAACCUUGACAAUGAAAGAAUACAGACCUGAACUUCUAACAGUUUUGAUGUGGAUAAAUCUUCUAACAGCAUGGCAAAGACGGUAGGAGCAGAGUAAGUUACCCAGUGUGUCUGACCCCCUAGCACUGUCUGGCAACUGCCGCUCCCAUCCACAGGAAUGCAGGAGCAGAUUCCUGGCUGUCCUGGUUUUUUCCAUGCGAUCCUUCAACAUACGCAAGGAGUCUUCAAAAAAUUCAUGGAAAAAGCAUAGUGGGGAAACACUCCACAUGGAUCUCAAAAGUUUUGCAGCAAAAUAAACUUAUCCUUUAAAUUCUAUUUUCCAUGCAGUUUUUGAAGUCCCCUCCAACAUCUCUGGGCAUACCAGCUGGACCACAAGCAGCCUCAUCUUGCUGAUUGGCUAACCAGAUUCUUAUUCCUGUGAAUUUAGAAUCUGAUCUGAAGAAAGACUGCAGCAACCUGUCUCUCCUCCAUGGAUCUGCAUCCUAACUAGGGACUCUGCCUUGUCACAGCCUGUCUGGCUUGGAGUCCAGGUGGCAAUAGAAGUUAGUCUUUGGGGAGAAAGACGCAUAUGUGUAAAGAAGAGCAAGGGUGAUUGUUCCAGAUCCUUCCAGGGAUCUGUCUGUGUACCGACCCUUCAGUUUAUAAAGAGCACUACACAUAAAGGUCUGUGUCCUGGCCUUUUGACCUAUCCCUGAAUUGCUUUGUAGCGUUCUUAGAACAAUUUGAUGUGCUCCUUCAUGAUGUAGCAACAGUGUCUUAACUGGGAAGGAAAGAGGGAUAUCACAGAAUCACUGGAAGAGUUUUUCAGUCAGUAUCAUUUGCCCUAAACAGAAGGGCAAUCACAAAAGUUAACACGAUAAGUAGCCAGCAUGGUGGUGCAGUGGUACAGUGGGUUAAGCCUGUGAAGCCAGCAUCCCAUAUGGGCACUGGUUCAAGUCUCUGUUGCCCCGCUUCCAAUCCAGAUAUCUUUAGCCAAAGGACUAGGAAAGGGACAACCUAGGAAGAAAGAAAACUCUUCAAUCGCUUCUCGGCCUUUUGGCUAAGAUCAAGUGUAGUGAAAACUCUUGGAGGGACCUGUGUGGUAUUGCAGUGGGAUGGCUGCAGCCCCUAUCAGGGUGCCUGUGCAUGUCCCUGCUGCUCUGCGUCCCAUGCACCUUCCUGCUGGUGUGCCUGGGAAGGCAGUGGAAGAUGGCCCAGCUGCUCCAACCCUGGCCGUUCGUGUGGGAGACCCAGAUGGAACUCCUGGCUCCUGGCUUCAGCCUGGCCUAGACCUGGCUUUUGUAGCCAUUUGGGAAGUGAGCCCUAGGA
Molecule: non-coding RNA, 4415 nt
Organism: Oryctolagus cuniculus (rabbit)
Lineage: Eukaryota; Metazoa; Chordata; Mammalia; Lagomorpha; Leporidae
Source: RefSeq, a predicted model, not a curated record